RNAcentral lists this ribosomal RNA (414 nucleotides) under uncultured bacterium. Its description in RNAcentral is "bacterial SSU rRNA". It matches the Rfam family "Bacterial small subunit ribosomal RNA", at positions 32 to 428 of the family's 1533-position model. The record is from RNAcentral.
AAUCAACGCUGGCGGCGUGCCUCAGACAUGCAAGUCGAACGCGAAACCUUCCUUCGGGAGGGGAGUAGAGUGGCGCACGGGUGAGUAACACGUGGGUAAUCUACCUUUGGGUGGGGAAUAACAGCCGGAAACGGCUGCUAAUACCGCAUAAUGCAGCGGCUCGACAUCGAGACAGUUGUUAAAGCGGGGGAUCGUAAGACCUCGCGCCUAAAGAGGAGCCUGCGGCAGAUAGCUAGUUGGUAAGGUAACGGCUUACCAAGGCGACGAUCUGUAGCCGGCCUGAGAGGGCGGUCGGCCACACUGACACUGACAUACGGGUCAGACUCCUACGGGAGGCAGCAGUCGGGAAUUUUGGGCAAUGGGCGAAAGCCUGACCCAGCAACGCCGCGUGAGGGAUGAAGGCCUCGGUUGUAA